RNAcentral lists this long non-coding RNA (233 nucleotides) under Gallus gallus (chicken). The record is from RNAcentral. Lineage: Eukaryota; Metazoa; Chordata; Aves; Galliformes; Phasianidae.
CGACCCCCCCCCAAUCAGCGCGGGGUGGGGGGGCGGGACGCACCUGGGCGGGGCGGGGCCACACCUGGGGCGCGGGGUCAGUGCGGCGGCGGCGGCGAUGGCGAUGGCGAUGGCGGGCGGGGUGCGGCGGGGCGGCGGCGGAGCGCGGCCUCUCGUGCUGCUGUGCGCGGCGGCCGUGUCCCUGGUGGGCGCCCAGGUCACCUCGGAGACGAAGGAAGUGCCUGAGAACCAAC